RNAcentral lists this unclassified non-coding RNA (305 nucleotides) under plant metagenome. RNAcentral describes it as "partial contains 5.8S ribosomal RNA, internal transcribed spacer 2, and large subunit ribosomal RNA". The stretch from base 1 to 105 matches the Rfam family "5.8S ribosomal RNA", at positions 50 to 154 of the family's 154-position model. The record is from RNAcentral.
GAAAUGCGAUAAGUAAUGUGAAUUGCAGAAUUCAGUGAAUCAUCGAAUCUUUGAACGCACAUUGCGCCCGCCAGUAUUCUGGCGGGCAUGCCUGUUCGAGCGUCAUUUCAACCAUCAAGCCCCCGGCUUGUGUUGGGGACCUGCGGCUGCCCGCAGGCCCUGAAAAACAGUGGCGGGCUCGCUGUCACACCGAGCGUAGUAGCAUACAUUCUCGCUCAGGGCGUGCUGCGGGUUCCGGCCGUUAAACAACCUUCAUAACCCAAGGUUGACCUCGGAUCAGGUAGGAAGACCCGCUGAACUUAAGC